This 497-nucleotide ribosomal RNA is filed under the name uncultured bacterium. RNAcentral's name for it is "partial 16S ribosomal RNA". It matches the Rfam family "Bacterial small subunit ribosomal RNA", at positions 28 to 507 of the family's 1533-position model. The record is from RNAcentral.
GAUGAACGCUGGCGGCGUGCCUAAUACAUGCAAGUCGAGCGAACAGACGAGGAGCUUGCUCCUCUGACGUUAGCGGCGGACGGGUGAGUAACACGUGGAUAACCUACCUAUAAGACUGGGAUAACUUCGGGAAACCGGAGCUAAUACCGGAUAAUAUAUUGAACCGCAUGGUUCAAUAGUGAAAGACGGUUUUGCUGUCCCUUAUAGAUGGAUCCGCGCCGCAUUAGCUAGUUGGUAAGGUAACGGCUUACCAAGGCAACGAUGCGUAGCCGACCUGAGAGGGUGAUCGGCCACACUGGAACUGAGACACGGUCCAGACUCCUACGGGAGGCAGCAGUAGGGAAUCUUCCGCAAUGGGCGAAAGCCUGACGGAGCAACGCCGCGUGAGUGAUGAAGGUCUUCGGAUCGUAAAACUCUGUUAUUAGGGAAGAACAAAUGUGUAAGUAACUAUGCACGUCUUGACGGCACCUAAACAGAAAGCCACGGCUAACUACGUG